GCUGGGGUAGCCAAGUGGUUAAGGCGGUAGCCUGCUAAGCUACUGGGCUUUCGGCCCUCGCGAGUUCGAAUCUCGUCCCCAGCG
This 84-nucleotide transfer RNA is filed under the name archaeon. RNAcentral's name for it is "tRNA-Ser". It matches the Rfam family "tRNA". Rfam says of the family: Transfer RNA (tRNA) molecules are approximately 80 nucleotides in length. Their secondary structure includes four short double-helical elements and three loops (D, anti-codon, and T loops). The record is from RNAcentral.